AUAUAUAUAUAUAUAGCAUACAUAUUCUUGUUCCACUUAAUUAUCUUCGUAUGGUGUUUGUAUUUGAUAUUUGUGAGCAUUCCAUUUUCAGAACAAUGUAUAAUUUAGACUUGUGUGUGAGUGAAUGUAUGUUGUUACAUAAUUUGUUAUACUUAUGAUCAUGCUUGUAAUUCAGAUUUGUAUUAAAAUUUUCAAUCUCAG
This 201-nucleotide unclassified non-coding RNA is filed under the name Hevea brasiliensis (rubber tree). Lineage: Eukaryota; Viridiplantae; Streptophyta; Magnoliopsida; Malpighiales; Euphorbiaceae. The record is from RNAcentral.